Long non-coding RNA from Pseudomyrmex gracilis, 805 nucleotides. RefSeq lists it as uncharacterized. The transcript is spliced from 3 exons. The record is from RefSeq and is a predicted model, not a curated record. Lineage: Eukaryota; Metazoa; Arthropoda; Insecta; Hymenoptera; Formicidae.
UCGAAUGGAGGUCGAUUGUGCGCGGCACAUGUGAUGUCACCGUGCACAGUCAUUAUCUUCGUUAUUAUUCCACAUAGGCGCGCUCUAUAUUGCGUCUCGUGUUUAAUAACGUCCGCGGCGAAACGCUAAAGGUCUCAGGUAGUAAAAGGGGAGGACGAAGAGACGACGACAAGAGCGGCUACGAGAGGGACAACUUGACCGGCGCACGAAGGGUGCAGACGUGCCGACGUGCGUAAGGGCGAUAUAUAUGUUCCCAUGGCUUUUCCGCAACGGAUGACUUUCCCAAGCGAGAGAAGGGUCUCAAAGUUUAACGAUCCAACGACGACGUAAGCAGCAGAUAUCUCGUGAACGCGCACACGAGCGAACGACAGAGACAAGCUCUUUCCGUGGAGGUUGAAUUUUUUAGCUGCUGUCGCAGUCUCGAUGAGAACGCGCAAAUUAAUUAAAGACUUUGCGCCGAAGAAGUCGUUCACUCAACGUCUUUACGAAAUUUCGCACGAAAAUCGUUCCGCGAUUAUUAGGAGAAAAAGGCUUUCUCUCUCGCGCUCCUCAUAAUUUCCAAUUGCGCGCGAUAGAAAGCAAGCGAGGCGACGCGCAAAAUUCUCCUUAAAACUUUUAUAUCGCGACGUGACAACGACGACGACCGACAACGGUGAGGAGACUAGAGGGAUAUUUUCCUCUUCGCUCCUCGGAUUAGAGUAUGUAAAUAUUCCAUCUUCGAGAUUAUAUCCCGAGGCACGCGGAACAAAAGGUUUCGCGAGCACUGUUCGCGAACCCUUUGUCAUAUAUAUUGCCGACCGGGUAA